GGUGAACGCUGGCGGUAGGCCUAACACAUGCAAGUCGAACGGCAGCACAGUAAGAGCUUGCUCUUACGGGUGGCGAGUGGCGGACGGGUGAGGAAUACAUCGGAAUCUACUUUUUCGUGGGGGAUAACGUAGGGAAACUUACGCUAAUACCGCAUACGACCUACGGGUGAAAGCAGGGGAUCUUCGGACCUUGCGCGAUUGAAUGAGCCGAUGUCGGAUUAGCUAGUUGGCGGGGUAAAGGCCAACCAAGGCGGCGAUCCGUAGCUGGUCUGAGAGGAUGGUCAGCCACACUGGAACUGAGACACGGUCCAGACUCCUACGGGAGGCAGCAGUCGGGAAUAUUGGACAAUGGGGGCAAGCCUGAUCCAGCCAGACCGCGUGGGUGAAGAAGGCCUUCGGGUUGUAAAGCCCUUUUGUUGGGAAAGAAAAGCAGCAGGUUAAUACCCCGCUGUUCUGACGGUACCCAAAGAAUAAGCACCGGCUAACUUCGUG
This 492-nucleotide ribosomal RNA is filed under the name uncultured bacterium. RNAcentral describes it as "partial 16S ribosomal RNA". It matches the Rfam family "Bacterial small subunit ribosomal RNA", at positions 28 to 507 of the family's 1533-position model. The record is from RNAcentral.